Molecule: unclassified non-coding RNA, 253 nt
Filed under: uncultured Enterobacteriaceae bacterium
Lineage: Bacteria; Pseudomonadati; Pseudomonadota; Gammaproteobacteria; Enterobacterales; Enterobacteriaceae
Description: contains 16S-23S intergenic spacer region
Rfam family: Bacterial small subunit ribosomal RNA
Source: RNAcentral
UACGGAGGGUGCAAGCGUUAAUCGGAAUUACUGGGCGUAAAGCGCACGCAGGCGGUCUGUCAAGUCGGAUGUGAAAUCCCCGGGCUCAACCUGGGAACUGCAUCCGAAACUGGCAGGCUAGAGUGCAGGAGAGGAAGGUAGAAUUCCCGGUGUAGCGGUGAAAUGCGUAGAGAUCGGGAGGAAUACCGGUGGCGAAGGCGGCCCCCUGGACAAAGACUGACGCUCAGGUGCGAAAGCGUGGGGAGCAAACAGG